AUUGAACGCUGGCGGCAGGCCUAACACAUGCAAGUCGAACGGUAACAGAAAGCAGCUUGCUGCUUUGCUGACGAGUGGCGGACGGGUGAGUAAUGUCUGGGAAACUGCCUGAUGGAGGGGGAUAACUACUGGAAACGGUAGCUAAUACCGCAUAACGUCGCAAGACCAAAGAGGGGGACCUUCGGGCCUCUUGCCAUCGGAUGUGCCCAGAUGGGAUUAGCUAGUAGGUGGGGUAACGGCUCACCUAGGCGACGAUCCCUAGCUGGUCUGAGAGGAUGACCAGCCACACUGGAACUGAGACACGGUCCAGACUCCUACGGGAGGCAGCAGUGGGGAAUAUUGCACAAUGGGCGCAAGCCUGAUGCAGCCAUGCCGCGUGUAUGAAGAAGGUCUUCGGGUUGUAAAGUACUUUCAGCGGGGAGGAAGGGAGUAAAGUUAAUACCUUUGCUCAUUGACGUUACCCGCAGAAGAAGCACCGGCUAACUCCGUG
This 490-nucleotide ribosomal RNA is filed under the name uncultured bacterium. RNAcentral describes it as "partial 16S ribosomal RNA". It matches the Rfam family "Bacterial small subunit ribosomal RNA", at positions 30 to 507 of the family's 1533-position model. The record is from RNAcentral.